UUUUUUUGGUAGUUCUGUAUUACUUGUACCCUUACACUGCUUUGCUUUGUUUUGUUUUGUUUUUUCUCUUUUUCCUUUUAAAUAAAAUUUAAAAAAAAACAAGAGUGGAAGGAGGUCCUCAAACAUAAUAGCUGUUUUAUCUUUAUUUUUUGUACUAGAAAUGAAACUUGACAUUUUGUACCUGCCAGGCAGUCACUGUGCCACUGAACCAUAUCCUUGGCCCUGAUCUGUUAUGAUCCAACUGGAGGCCUAGAGCACACAACAGUGACUCAUGCAAGUCUCUUUCAUGAAUCUGCGCUGGGAAGGCCCCAAGGUGAGUGGUGGAAGCUAGAAUGUCUGUGCAAGUGAGAUGAAGGAUGUGUGCCAGCAGGCGGAGCGUUCUUCGCUGGAGCCAAGAAGCAAUGCUGUAAACGAGGAUCCGGGAUUCCAAAAAGUAACACAGCUAUUCUCAGUGACAAGUUUCUGACUUCCUCUGAUGAUGAAAAACAGCUGAGUUCAUAACAGGAAGCCAGAAUGACAAGCUUCUCCUGAAGACUGAACUGCACACAAUCCUCCCCUCUGGAGCUAGGAAGCAAUAAAGACCAGUGCUUCCCCAAAGUGAACCACAGCCAUUCUCAGCAACAAGGUCCUGAGCUCCUCUGCCAAUGAGAACAGCCAAGUUCAUAUCAGGAAAGAAGCUCAGCAAGUUCCUCCAGGAGAACCCACGGCAAUAGUAGAACCAGCAGCGCCAAACAACAGCUCUUCCUCUUAUUUAUGCUGGCAACAAUCCUCAGAAAUUUGUACAACAACAUGAAAGCAAACAUUGAAAAUAUAGAGAAGCCAUGCUGGGUCUGGGAGGAGAACAUCAAGCCACUUUGUCCUUCCAGUAAACUGUGCAAAUGAUAAGGAGCUCAGGAAGUGAGAAGCCAGAUGGGCCUCCCUGUGAGUCAGCAAAAGCCAUGCUGUGUCUGUGAGUAUCCCACCAGUCAGUUCACCCUUCCUGUAAGCCACACAGAGACCAAGUUUGUCCUUCCUGUGAGCUGACCAGCGUAUGGACUGAGAAUCAAGAACCCUCCUCCUCAUAAGCAACCAGCUGGUGCAGAGGACAGGCUGAGUUGAUAGCAACUGAGGUACAAAAAACAACUAAAUUCCUUUACUGUUUGUUUGACUUUGCAGGCCC
This 1159-nucleotide long non-coding RNA is filed under the name Cavia porcellus (domestic guinea pig). Its description in RNAcentral is "lncRNA (ENSCPOG00000036067.1)". Lineage: Eukaryota; Metazoa; Chordata; Mammalia; Rodentia; Caviidae. The record is from RNAcentral.